UCUGGUUGAUCCUGCCAGUAGUCAUAUGCUUGUCUCAAAGAUUAAGCCAUGCAUGUCUAAGUAUAAGCAAUUUAUACAGUGAAACUGCGAAUGGCUCAUUAAAUCAGUUAUCGUUUAUUUGAUAGUUCCUUUACUACAUGGUAUAACUGUGGUAAUUCUAGAGCUAAUACAUGCUUAAAAUCUCGACCCUUUGGAAGAGAUGUAUUUAUUAGAUAAAAAAUCAAUGUCUUCGGACUCUUUGAUGAUUCAUAAUAACUUUUCGAAUCGCAUGGCCUUGUGCUGGCGAUGGUUCAUUCAAAUUUCUGCCCUAUCAACUUUCGAUGGUAGGAUAGUGGCCUACCAUGGUUUCAACGGGUAACGGGGAAUAAGGGUUCGAUUCCGGAGAGGGAGCCUGAGAAACGGCUACCACAUCCAAGGAAGGCAGCAGGCGCGCAAAUUACCCAAUCCUAAUUCAGGGAGGUAGUGACAAUAAAUAACGAUACAGGGCCCAUUCGGGUCUUGUAAUUGGAAUGAGUACAAUGUAAAUACCUUAACGAGGAACAAUUGGAGGGCAAGUCUGGUGCCAGCAGCCGCGGUAAUUCCAGCUCCAAUAGCGUAUAUUAAAGUUGUUGCAGUUAAAAAGCUCGUAGUUGAACUUUGGGCCCGGUUGGCCGGUCCGAUUUUUUCGUGUACUGGAUUUCCAACGGGGCCUUUCCUUCUGGCUAACCUUGAGUCCUUGUGGCUCUUGGCGAACCAGGACUUUUACUUUGAAAAAAUUAGAGUGUUCAAAGCAGGCGUAUUGCUCGAAUAUAUUAGCAUGGAAUAAUAGAAUAGGACGUUUGGUUCUAUUUUGUUGGUUUCUAGGACCAUCGUAAUGAUUAAUAGGGACGGUCGGGGGCAUCAGUAUUCAAUUGUCAGAGGUGAAAUUCUUGGAUUUAUUGAAGACUAACUACUGCGAAAGCAUUUGCCAAGGACGUUUUCAUUAAUCAAGAACGAAAGUUAGGGGAUCGAAGAUGAUCAGAUACCGUCGUAGUCUUAACCAUAAACUAUGCCGACUAGGGAUCGGGUGGUGUUUUU
RNAcentral lists this ribosomal RNA (1056 nucleotides) under Saccharomyces cerevisiae (brewer's yeast). RNAcentral describes it as "SSU rRNA". It matches the Rfam family "Eukaryotic small subunit ribosomal RNA", at positions 1 to 1067 of the family's 1831-position model. The record is from RNAcentral. Lineage: Eukaryota; Fungi; Ascomycota; Saccharomycetes; Saccharomycetales; Saccharomycetaceae.